RNAcentral lists this ribosomal RNA (409 nucleotides) under uncultured bacterium. Its description in RNAcentral is "bacterial SSU rRNA". It matches the Rfam family "Bacterial small subunit ribosomal RNA", at positions 505 to 916 of the family's 1533-position model. The record is from RNAcentral.
GUGUCAGCAGCCGCGGUAAUACGGAGGAUGCGAGCGUUAUCCGGAUUUAUUGGGUUUAAAGGGUGCGUAGGCCGACUUUUAAGUCAGCGGUGAAAUUUUCCGGCUUAACCGGGACCUUGCCGUUGAAACUGAUAGUCUUGAGUGUAAAUGAGGUAGGCGGAAUGUGUGGUGUAGCCGUGAAAUGAUUAGAUAUCACACAGAACUCCGAUUGCGAAGGCAGAUUACUGGCAUACAACUGACGCUGAGGAGCGAAAGUGUGGGUAUCAAACAGGAUUAGAUACCCUGGUAGUCCACACAGUAAACGAUGAGAACUAGCCGUUGGCGAUAUACAGUCAGUGGCAGAGCGAAAGCAUUAAGUUAUACACCUGGGGAGUAUGCCGGCAACGGUGAAACUUAAAGGAAUUGGCGG